UGCAAGUAAACCUUUAGGUCACAAGGCUGUCUCUGUUAGUCCUUACCAGCUGUUGCCGCAGUAAUACCAGUGAAUAGUAGGAGACAAGGUGGAAGGGUGUUGGUAACACACUGGUGUUUUGGUGUUUUGGUGUUUUGAGCACUGCUGAGCAGCACUGGCACAGCAACAGCACUGUCUCUCCAACAUUCCUCCCCCAUGAAGGGGCUGGGGGUGGGCAGGAUCCUGGGAUGACACAACCAGGCCAGAUGAUCCAAAUUAACCAAAGGGAUAUUCCCUAUCAUAUGGCAUCAGCUUAGAUAUAAAAGUUAAGGAAAGUAAGAGAAAGUGGGGGCAUUUGUUAUUUUAGUGUUUGCCUUCCAUAGCAACCAGUCUGUGUGCUGAAGCUCUGCUUUCUGGGAAUUGGCUGAACAUCCCUCACUGAUUGGAGACCUGAAGAUCUAUUUUGAUUCUUCCCAGAAGCCAUAAAAGGAAUACUCCAUCAGGUUUAACUUCAAUAUGAAGAAGAGCUCUGACAGGAGUAUUUCUUCUCCCUAAACUUGGCAAUGAAUGCAGGCCAAGUUUCCAUACUGAGAUUUCAUUCCUUCAAUGGGAUAUGUAGACUGACACACUACUCAAGAAAAUACUAGAAAUGACAGAAACAGAAGCAUUAUAAGGUGCCACUUGGAGCUGUAAUCAAGCUGUUCCUAAUAACUCCAAGAAAGAGCUGGAAUCUGCUCGCUGUGGAGCCUGGAAGGUGUGCACUGCCAGUCAUCUCUCCUAAUUUAAUGCCAGAGUCAUCCAACUUUCCAGCGUGGAAAGCACACAUCAGCAAUACAUUUUCAUUAGGGUACAACUAAAAAUUUAGAUUUCUAGGUAUUUUUACUUGGUUACAGUUUAACAAAAAAAUAAUCUCACUGACAUUUGAAUGCAUGUUAUCUCAGUCUAUUAAAAAGAGCAAAAACUCUCUCCUCCCAAAUAGGGAGCCUAAGAAAUACAGCUUUUACAAAGAUAAAGCCAUGAAACAAUUAUAUCAUUCUACUAACAGGUUCCUUUUCUUUUAAUGAGAGGCUUUUUUUGAUAGAGAAAUUUAAGUGAUGAAAUAUCUUAAAUUCCCCAUGAAAAACUAAAAAUUUUGCAAUUAUUCAGUUUGCACAGAAUUUUCUUUAGAUUUCUGCAUAAUUCCUGAGAAGUUUUGGACAUCUUUAGCACAGAGAUUGUCUUCCCCUGUAAGCAAAUAGCUGUGAAAUACAUUAAGUGAGUCUGCAUUUGUCACAUCUGUCUAGCAUGCUAAUUUCCAUAAUGGAUGACAACUCACAGGUGCCUCCAGUUGUUUUAUAUUAAUUUAUAUGAUCCACAGAAGGCAUCUAAAUUUUCCACCCUUGAAACUCUGCAUAAAACAAGAGUAUUUUUAGUUAAAGCAGUUACUGGGUGACCUAGGCAGCAGAGAACUUGCAUGGGAAUACAAUUCCCUGAUUGUACUUAGUGGAACUUAAGAGAAUAGUACCAACUAUACCUUUCUCAUUUUUUAGCCAUUUGACUUGAGUCUGAUUUGUCAAAGUGCAAAUGCAGUCAACAGAAAUUGUGCUUUGAAUGCAAUAUAAACACUCUUCAAAAUGAGAUCAUACAUUUUUUAUAUUGGACACUUAGAAUUUCUAGAAACCAUUGAAUUUAAUCAAUCAAAGGGCAACACACCUGUCCUAGGAUGUUGUUAUGGUGCUUGUAUCCCCAUUUGUGUGUUCUGUUCAUGCUGGAUAUUAUGUUCUGUGCCUUCAAGACUGGCUUUGAAGGGUGGAAGUUUUGUUUUGGUUUUGCUAUCAGCUGCUCCCCCAUGGCUGGUGGGACACACAGACGGGGCAGUACAUAGCGCUGCUUUUGGCUUUUUGCUUGGCUUUUUGCUUUGCUCUUGUUCUUGCUUCUGCUUUACUCUUGCUUUUUGCU
Zonotrichia albicollis (white-throated sparrow) is the source of this 1917-nucleotide non-coding RNA. The record is from RefSeq and is a predicted model, not a curated record. NCBI's taxonomy places the organism in Eukaryota, Metazoa, Chordata, Aves, Passeriformes, Passerellidae.